AGUGAACGCUGGCGGUAGGCCUAAUACAUGCAAGUCGAACGACAGCACAAUAAGAGCUUGCCUUUGCGGUUGGCGAGUGGCGGGCGGGUGACAAGUAGAUCGGAAUCUAAUUUUUCGUGGGUAAUUACGGAAGGAAACUUACGCUACUACCUCAUACGACCUACGGGUGGAAGCAGGAGUUCUUCAGACCUUUGGCGUCUCAUUGAGCUGAUGUCGCAUUAGCUAGUUGGCGGGGUAAGGUCCCACCAAGGCGACGAUACGUAGCUGAUCUGAGAGGAUGAUCAGCCACACUGGAACUGAGACACGGUCCAGACUCCUACGGGAGGCAGCAGUGGGGAAUAUUGCACAAUGGGCGAAAGCCUGACCCAGCAAUACCGCGUGAGUGAAGAAGGUCUUCGGAUUGUAAAGCUCUUUUGUUGGGAAAGAAAAACAGCAGGUUAAUACACCGCCGUUUUGACGGUACCCAAAGAAUAAGCAACGGCUAACUUCGUG
RNAcentral lists this ribosomal RNA (492 nucleotides) under uncultured bacterium. Its description in RNAcentral is "partial 16S ribosomal RNA". It matches the Rfam family "Bacterial small subunit ribosomal RNA", at positions 29 to 507 of the family's 1533-position model. The record is from RNAcentral.